RNAcentral lists this ribosomal RNA (497 nucleotides) under uncultured bacterium. Its description in RNAcentral is "partial 16S ribosomal RNA". It matches the Rfam family "Bacterial small subunit ribosomal RNA", at positions 28 to 507 of the family's 1533-position model. The record is from RNAcentral.
GAUGAACGCUGGCGGCGUGCCUAAUACAUGCAAGUCGAGCGAACAGACGAGGAGCUUGCUCCUUUGACGUUAGCGGUGGGCGGGUGAGUAAUACGUGGAUAACAUCCUUCUAUGACUGGGAUAAUCUCGUGAAACCGGAGCUUCUAGCGGAUAAUAUCAUGUACCGCAUGGUUCAAUAGUGAAAGACGGCUUUGCUGUUACUUAUCGAUGGUUUCGCGUCGCAUUAGCUAGUUGGUAAGGUCACGGCUUACCAAGGAGACUAUUCGUAGCCGACCUGAGAGGCUGAUCGCCCACACUGGAACUGAGACACGGUCCAGACUCCUACGGGAGGCAGCAGUAGGGAAUCUUCCGCAAUGGGCGAAAGCCUGGCAGAGCAACACCGCGUGUGUGAUGAAGGUCUUCGGUUCGUAAAACACUGUUAUUGGGGAAGAACAGAUGUGGAAGUAACUAUACACGUCUUGACGGUACCUAAUCAGAAAGCCACGGCUAACUACGUG